UGUGGGAUCACAUCCCACAGCCGGGUGGUCCCUAAAUGAGCUGAUUCUCAUCAAAGCUGAGAAGCAUAGUCAGGUGUGGUGGCUCACGCCUGUAAUCCCAGCACAUUCGGAGGCCAAGGUGGACGGGCCACUUGAGGCCAGGAGUUCGAGGCCAGCCUGGCCAACAUGGAGAAAUCUUGUCUCUAAAAAAUAAAAGAAUAAAGAAGAAGCAGAACUUUGUAGAGUCCCUCCAGGAAGCAGUGCCACGAGGCCUUGGGGCUGCUUACUACAACUGAAGGAAGUAGAUGAAGUCUCACUAGGUUGCCCAGACUGAUCUUGAACCCCUGGACUCCAGCAAUCCACCUGCCUUGGCCUCCCAAAGUGCUUGGAUUAUGCGUGUGAGCCGUUGCACCUGCCCCAUACCUGAAUUCUUUAUUGAGUGGAAAAUAUGGCUGACCACAACGCCCAGAUUUUAUAGACAGUAGUUCCACUGCCUUUGGGAAUCCAGUUCUUUUUCCCAAUUUCAGGUAUUAAUAUCCUAGGGAAUUCUCUGAUGUGCUUUUGGGUUUACCGGCCUCCCAUGGACCAUUCAUGUGUAGGAGGCAUGAAGGCCAGGGCACGUGAAAGCAUGCCUGCCGCCCUGGACACUGUUCAGCAGGUCCCAGAAGGAGCCUAUGUUUACAGAGUAAGAGGAGAGGCUGACCAGCAAACAGAAGGGUCUGAUUCAUCCCCAAAUCACGAGACAAGCAAGGUGAGAGCAUUCUCCGCUGUUCCCCUUUGUUGCGUCUCUCUACCUCAUGCCUCUCCAGCUCCUGUUUGCCUUCAGGCCAUUCUCACAGGCAAUGCUGAGUGGAAUCAACUUCCAGACAUAAGGCAUAGAAGCCACACUACGUGUGGGUUGCUUGCAUUGAUAGAACAAUUUCCAGAAAGCUGCUGGCCAUCUCUUGUGUUAUAGAGAGAAAGAAAUCUCUUCAUCUCACGUAUAAGGCCAAAAUGGGAGUAUUAUUAAUGCAUCUUAAUGCUGACAAUGCCAUUUUCUGCCACCUACACUGACACUCAUAUUUGUUUUUGUGAUUUAUAACAGCAGUAUUGUUUAAUUAAAUGUUAAUUGCACCAGGACUGCAAGCGUAUAUUCUCUUUGAAAUUCAGGGAUAAUGCUGAAGUUCCCAUCAAUUAUUCUCUCAAACCCGCAUCUUCUUCUCUUUUCCCCAGGCUCAGCCAUUGGUUUCUGUUUGUUUUGUACCUUGUUGGACAGCUCUAUAAAAUUGCAUACAUGUAUUGGAGCCUAGAACCUGAGAGGUUUAAGUAUGUUGUGUGUGUC
Molecule: long non-coding RNA, 1300 nt
Filed under: Pan troglodytes (chimpanzee)
Lineage: Eukaryota; Metazoa; Chordata; Mammalia; Primates; Hominidae
Description: long non-coding RNA NONPTRT003734
Source: RNAcentral